CUUGCUGCUUUGCUGACGAGUGGCGGACGGGUGAGUAAUGUCUGGGAAACUGCCCGAUGGAGGGGGAUAACUACUGGAAACGGUAGCUAAUACCGCAUAAUGUCGCAAGACCAAAGAGGGGGACCUUCGGGCCUCUUGCCAUCGGAUGUGCCCAGAUGGGAUUAGCUAGUUGGUGAGGUAACGGCUCACCAAGGCGACGAUCCCUAGCUGGUCUGAGAGGAUGACCAGCCACACUGGAACUGAGACACGGUCCAGACUCCUACGGGAGGCAGCAGUGGGGAAUAUUGCACAAUGGGCGCAAGCCUGAUGCAGCCAUGCCGCGUGUAUGAAGAAGGCCUUCGGGUUGUAAAGUACUUUCAGCGGGGAGGAAGGGGUUAAGGUUAAUAACCUUAGCCAUUGACGUUACCCGCAGAAGAAGCACCGGCUAACUCCGUGCCAGCAGCCGCGGUAAUACGGAGGGUGCAAGCGUUAAUCGGAAUUACUGGGCGUAAAGCGCACGCAGGCGGUCUGUCAAGUCGGAUGUGAAAUCCCCGGGCUCAACCUGGGAACUGCAUUCGAAACUGGCAGGCUUGAGUCUCGUAGAGGGGGGUAGAAUUCCAGGUGUAGCGGUGAAAUGCGUAGAGAUCUGGAGGAAUACCGGUGGCGAAGGCGGCCCCCUGGACGAAGACUGACGCUCAGGUGCGAAAGCGUGGGGAGCAAACAGGAUUAGAUACCCUGGUAGUCCACGCCGUAAACGAUGUCUAUUUGGAGGUUGUGCCCUUGAGGCGUGGCUUCCGGAGCUAACGCGUUAAAUAGACCGCCUGGGGAGUACGGCCGCAAGGUUAAAACUCAAAUGAAUUGACGGGGGCCCGCACAAGCGGUGGAGCAUGUGGUUUAAUUCGAUGCAACGCGAAGAACCUUACCUGGUCUUGACAUCCACAGAACUUGGCAGAGAUGCCUUGGUGCCUUCGGGAACUGUGAGACAGGUGCUGCAUGGCUGUCGUCAGCUCGUGUUGUGAAAUGUUGGGUUAAGUCCCGCAACGAGCGCAACCCUUAUCCUUUGUUGCCAGCGGUCCGGCCGGGAACUCAAAGGAAACUGCCAGUGAUAAACUGGAGAAAGGUGGGGAUGACGUCAAGUCAUCAUGGGCCUUUGGAC
Molecule: ribosomal RNA, 1135 nt
Filed under: Citrobacter amalonaticus
Lineage: Bacteria; Pseudomonadati; Pseudomonadota; Gammaproteobacteria; Enterobacterales; Enterobacteriaceae
Description: bacterial SSU rRNA
Rfam family: Bacterial small subunit ribosomal RNA
Source: RNAcentral